Molecule: ribosomal RNA, 254 nt
Filed under: uncultured bacterium
Lineage: Bacteria
Description: partial 16S ribosomal RNA
Rfam family: Bacterial small subunit ribosomal RNA
Source: RNAcentral
UACGAAGGGGGCUAGCGUUGUUCGGAAUUACUGGGCGUAAAGCGCACGUAGGCGGGUUUGUAAGUAGGGGGUGAAAUCCCAGAGCUCAACUCUGGAACUGCCUUCUAAACUGCAAGCCUGGAGGUCAGGGAGAGGCGAGUGGAAUACCGAGUGUAGAGGUGAAAUUCGUAGAUAUUCGGUGGAACACCAGUGGCGAAGGCGACUCGCUGGACUGAUACUGACGCUGAGGUGCGAAAGCGUGGGGAGCAAACAGG